UGGGGAAUAUUGCACAAUGGGCGCAAGCCUGAUGCAGCCAUGCCGCGUGUAUGAAGAAGGCCUUCGGGUUGUAAAGUACUUUCAGCGGGGAGGAAGGUGUUGUGGUUAAUAACCGCAGCAAUUGACGUUACCCGCAGAAGAAGCACCGGCUAACUCCGUGCCAGCAGCCGCGGUAAUACGGAGGGUGCAAGCGUUAAUCGGAAUUACUGGGCGUAAAGCGCACGCAGGCGGUCUGGCAAGUCGGAUGUGAAAUCCCCGGGCUCAACCUGGGAACUGCAUUCGAAACUGGCAGGCUAGAGUCUUGUAGAGGGGGGUAGAAUUCCAGGUGUAGCGGUGAAAUGCGUAGAGAUCUGGAGGAAUACCGGUGGCGAAGGCGGCCCCCUGGACAAAGACUGACGCUCAGGUGCGAAAGCGUGGGGAGCAAACA
This 427-nucleotide ribosomal RNA is filed under the name uncultured bacterium. RNAcentral's name for it is "partial 16S ribosomal RNA". It matches the Rfam family "Bacterial small subunit ribosomal RNA", at positions 355 to 774 of the family's 1533-position model. The record is from RNAcentral.